This is a non-coding RNA of Solanum tuberosum (potato), 81 nucleotides long. The record is from Rfam. Lineage: Eukaryota; Viridiplantae; Streptophyta; Magnoliopsida; Solanales; Solanaceae.
AAUCCCGAUGAUGAAGUUAGCUGAAUAAUUUAAAAGUAGUGGCCUGAUGACCAUUGAUGAAAAGCUUUACUCUGAGGGAUU